RNAcentral lists this transfer RNA (72 nucleotides) under Eupeodes corollae. Its description in RNAcentral is "tRNA-Val". It matches the Rfam family "tRNA". From Rfam's summary of the family: Transfer RNA (tRNA) molecules are approximately 80 nucleotides in length. Their secondary structure includes four short double-helical elements and three loops (D, anti-codon, and T loops). Further hydrogen bonds mediate the characteristic L-shaped molecular structure. tRNAs have two regions of fundamental functional importance: the anti-codon, which is responsible for specific mRNA codon recognition, and the 3' end, to which the tRNAs corresponding amino acid is attached (by aminoacyl-tRNA synthetases). tRNAs cope with the degeneracy of the genetic code in two manners: having more than one tRNA (with a specific anti-codon) for a particular amino acid; and 'wobble' base-pairing, i.e. permitting non-standard base-pairing at the 3rd anti-codon position. The record is from RNAcentral. Lineage: Eukaryota; Metazoa; Arthropoda; Insecta; Diptera; Syrphidae.
CAAUUUAAAGCUUAUAUAGAAAAGCAUUUCAUUUACAUUGAAAAGAAUUUUGUGCAAACCAAUAUAAAUUGA